AUAAAGCUCAUUUAAAUCAUCAAAUCAAGAUCAAUAGAUUUUCAAAAAUGAAUUGUUAGGAUGGUUUCCUACCUUACUACUGCUGCAAUUUAGUUAUCCCUAUCCAAAAAUCCAAAAAAAAAAAAAUUGUUCCUAUAUUGCUGCAUAAACUUUUCGUCAAAAAGUUUUCAUCUUUACAACAAAAGAUACAUUGCAGAAUUUCAG
RNAcentral lists this long non-coding RNA (204 nucleotides) under Musa acuminata (dwarf banana). RNAcentral describes it as "long non-coding RNA (MACU_LNC009630)". The record is from RNAcentral. Lineage: Eukaryota; Viridiplantae; Streptophyta; Magnoliopsida; Zingiberales; Musaceae.